GGCGAUCAGAUACCGCCCUAGUUCUAACCGUAAACGAUGACAACCAGCGAUUAAUCGGCGUUAAUAUAUGACCCGAUUAGCAGCUUCCGGGAAACCAAAGUUUUUCGUUUCCGGGGGAAGUAUGGUUGCAAAGCUGAAACUUAAAGGAAUUGACGGAAGGGCACCACCAGGAGUGGAGCCUGCGGCUUAAUUUGACUCAACACGGGAAAACUCACCCGGCCCGGACACCGUAAGGAUUGACAGACUGAGAGCUCUUUCUUAAUUCGGUGGGUGGUGGUGCAUGGCCGUUCUUAGUUGGUGGAGCGAUUUGUCUGGUUAAUUCCGAUAACGAACGAGACUCUGGCCUAUUAAAUAGACGGUAUAUUUAAAAGUAUAUCGCACUUCUUAGAGGGACAAGCGGCGUCUAGCCGCAUGAAAUAGAGCAAUAACAGGUCUGUGAUGCCCUUAGAUGUCCGGGGCUGCACGCGCGCUACACUGAAAGAAUCAGUGGGCGUGAUACCUAGUUCGGAAGGACCGGGUAACCCAAGUAAAUUCUUUCGUGCUUGGGAUAGGGAAUUGCAAUUAUUUCCCUUAAACGAGGAAUUCCCAGUAAAUGCGGGUCAUAAGCUCGCGUUGAUUACGUCCCUGCCCUUUGUA
Molecule: ribosomal RNA, 636 nt
Filed under: Dorylaimoides elegans
Lineage: Eukaryota; Metazoa; Nematoda; Enoplea; Dorylaimida; Mydonomidae
Description: SSU rRNA
Rfam family: Eukaryotic small subunit ribosomal RNA
Source: RNAcentral